This 74-nucleotide transfer RNA is filed under the name Blautia obeum. Its description in RNAcentral is "tRNA-Glu(ttc)". It matches the Rfam family "tRNA". Rfam says of the family: Transfer RNA (tRNA) molecules are approximately 80 nucleotides in length. Their secondary structure includes four short double-helical elements and three loops (D, anti-codon, and T loops). Lineage: Bacteria; Bacillati; Bacillota; Clostridia; Lachnospirales; Lachnospiraceae. The record is from RNAcentral.
UGUCCGGUUAGUCUAGCGGUUAAGACACUGCGCUUUCAAUGCAGUAACAUGGGUUCAAUUCCCGUACCGGAUGU